CCUACGGGUGGCAGCAGUGGGGAAUUUUGGACAAUGGGGGGAACCCUGAUCCAGCCAUGCCGCGUGUGUGAAGAAGGCCCUCGGGUUGUAAAGCACUUUCAGUGAGGAAGAACGCCUGGUGGUUAAUACCCAUCAGGAAAGACAUCACUCACAGAAGAAGCACCGGCUAACUCCGUGCCAGCAGCCGCGGUAAUACGGAGGGUGCGAGCGUUAAUCGGAAUUACUGGGCGUAAAGCGCGCGUAGGUGGCUUGAUAAGCCGGUUGUGAAAGCCCCGGGCUCAACCUGGGAACGGCAUCCGGAACUGUCAAGCUAGAGUGCAGGAGAGGAAGGUAGAAUUCCCGGUGUAGCGGUGAAAUGCGUAGAGAUCGGGAGGAAUACCAGUGGCGAAGGCGGCCUUCUGGACUGACACUGACACUGAGGUGCGAAAGCGUGGGUAGCAAACAGGAUUAGAUACCCUUGUAGUC
RNAcentral lists this ribosomal RNA (465 nucleotides) under Vreelandella stevensii. Its description in RNAcentral is "partial 16S ribosomal RNA". It matches the Rfam family "Bacterial small subunit ribosomal RNA", at positions 338 to 795 of the family's 1533-position model. Lineage: Bacteria; Pseudomonadati; Pseudomonadota; Gammaproteobacteria; Oceanospirillales; Halomonadaceae. The record is from RNAcentral.